RNAcentral lists this ribosomal RNA (253 nucleotides) under uncultured bacterium. Its description in RNAcentral is "partial 16S ribosomal RNA". It matches the Rfam family "Bacterial small subunit ribosomal RNA", at positions 524 to 776 of the family's 1533-position model. The record is from RNAcentral.
UACGUAGGGUCCAAGCGUUAAUCGGAAUUACUGGGCGUAAAGCGUGCGCAGGCGGUCUGCUAAGAGAGGUGUGAAAUCCCCGGGCUUAACCUGGGAACUGCGCUUCUAACUGGCAGGCUUGAGUGUGGCAGAGGGGGGUGGAAUUCCACGUGUAGCAGUGAAAUGCGUAGAGAUGUGGAGGAACACCGAUGGCGAAGGCAGCCCCCUGGGCUAACACUGACGCUCAUGCACGAAAGCGUGGGGAGCAAACAGG